GUAGGUACUUACAUUGUUGAACAAGUUGUUGAAUAACAAAUCCAUAGAACAAAUCAACCACCUAAUUUGCUGUGAUAUAUAAUAUGAAUACAGAAAAACAUGAUAAAUUCAGCUACAAAGAAAUACGAAGUUUUCGUGCACCUUUCUAAAAAUAUUCAAUUUCAGCAUUUUAAGUGAUUUGUCGUGCAUUUUUCAGCAACUUAGCAAGAUUUUAACUCUCUUGUAGGUACUUAGAUGUGAAAAUAUUGUGUUGUGCCUUUCCACAUAAAGAAUAUUGUGAAAAUGAUAGCACCCAGUUUGAUGACCUUUCGGGUCCAUCAGUUUUUUUGGAUUAACGAUCCAAAAAAGUAACGGUACAGUGAAAACUGGCACAGUUGAUGUUUAUGUUAACGAUUGCAACACUGCAGAAAAUUAUAUUUAACCUAAACCAGAAAACUUAACGGACAGUUCACGAAAAAACAAGAUAAGUGUCACGAGACAAAUGCUAGUACUCAUGUAGAUGGAAAAGCACAAUCUAUUUAAUGUGAGAUAUGUCAGAGGUGCAAUCAAAGAUUCUCAAAUCCGUCUGAUUUGAAGUACCAAGUGGAAACCCUAACUGAGGAGAAAUCGUUCAAAUGUGAUCAGUGUAAACGGACAUACAGUCGAAAAACCAUCCAUACUAAUAUUAUAAAUGCGAAAGUGUUCCUGUCUGUCUGUUACCUUUUCACAGCCCAACAGUUGAACCGAUUCUGAUGAAAUUUAGUACAGGGUUAGCUUAUAUUAUAUCUACCUAAAUCCACGCGGACGAAGUCGCGGGCAUCCUCUAGUAUUUCUUAAACACAUGAUGGGUCAUAACAGUGAUGCUCCUGAACCAAUUGUUACUUGUGACAUUUGCAAUCAAAGUUUUAACCAAAAACAGGAUUUAGUCAGACAUAUAGACACUGUACAUUCUACUGAAAAAAAUGUUCAAACUGAAGCUCCGUUCACUUGUAAAGUUUGCAACCAUAUAUUUCAACGUAAAUGCGAAUUCAUCAUUCAUAGAAAAUCACAUUCCCUUAGAAACUAUGCGUGUGAAAUAUGCAAAAGAAGUUUUAAACAUGAGGGUAGUUAUAAAAUUCAUAUGGACAAACAUUCUUCGAAUAAACCGGUAAUAUUACAUAUUUGUAAGAUAUGCCACUAUGAGUUUGGACAUCACAAAGCGUUGGUUAAUCAUAUGAGACUUCACACGGGUGAAAAACCUUUUGAAUGUAAGACGUGUGAUAAAAAAUUCGCUUUUAAAGUGUCUUUGGUGAGACACUAUUGCAUUGAUGGUGAGCAGCCUUACAUGAGGAAAGUGACCAUAGAGAAACCAAAAGUUUGUGAUGUAUGUCACGCUCAAUUCAAAAGUGAGGUUAAUUUGGCUAAACAUAUGAGUAUGCAUGCAGGCCAUAAACCAUUUACAUGUAACAUCUGUGAGAAACAAUUUGCUUUUAAAGUCGCUUUAGUCACACAUGUCUGUAUUAAUGGUGACAAACCUUACAUGAUAAAGACUGAAAACCAUAGAGUUGUGAAAUCUAUGGAACCCAUAGAUAAUAUAAAAAUUGUUAAAGUAGAAAGUAUUGAGACAGGGACAGAUAUAGAUGCGAAGGAUAGGGUAGAGAUAAAGAUAGAAAGAGACGAAUUGGAGUCGGGAGAUAUAGGUAUAGCAGAAAUAAAGAUAGAAGCAAUUAAGACAGAAAUUAAAAAGGAGUACUAAAU
Molecule: long non-coding RNA, 1716 nt
Organism: Maniola jurtina (meadow brown)
Lineage: Eukaryota; Metazoa; Arthropoda; Insecta; Lepidoptera; Nymphalidae
Exons: 2
Source: RefSeq, a predicted model, not a curated record